CUCCCUCCCUCCCUCUCUCUCUCUGUCUUUUUUUUUCACUCUGUCUCUCACACUCUCGCUUGCUCUUUUUCUCUCUCUCCCUCCCUCCCUCACUCUCUCUCUCUCUCCCUCUCCCUUUCCCGUCUCUGUGUUUUGUAAGGUAGGUUGCAGUGUGUGUAUAUACACAACAUCAAGAGCAGGAAAAUGGACUCAUUAGGGAGACAGGCAGUCAUUACCAUUCACACUGCACUUCCAGGGAGACAGCGACUAUGAGGAGACAGACUGAGGACUGGGGAGCAAGGAAAUUUGAGAGCUUAACAUCUCUGCUGCUUCCUGCUUUUGCUGCGACAAUUCCUUCUUGUAUUUUCAAACAGAGCUCAGCCUUGCAUCCCAUCCUAUCCUGUUGAUUUCACUUUGGUUACAUGAGUGCCUGAAGUUACAUUUUAGAUGCUGAAAUCACUGCACCUUAAAAACAAAAAAAAAAGGUUGAAUUGAAUUGCAUUCCU
Non-coding RNA from Notechis scutatus (mainland tiger snake), 485 nucleotides. Lineage: Eukaryota; Metazoa; Chordata; Lepidosauria; Squamata; Elapidae. The record is from RefSeq and is a predicted model, not a curated record.